Molecule: non-coding RNA, 38 nt
Filed under: Schistosoma haematobium
Lineage: Eukaryota; Metazoa; Platyhelminthes; Trematoda; Strigeidida; Schistosomatidae
Source: RNAcentral
UGAUGAGGAGUCCCACAAUAGGACGAAACGGCCGUCCA